GCAAGAAACCGGCAAGACAGAAGAGGAGAUUGAUAGGGCAACGUUGUGGAAAAAAGCAAGAGUAUUGAAAACAGGAGGUUUCCAGAAAGAUGUCCGAGUGAUUGUUGAUAGAAUUGUUGGGAAAGGAGUAGAAGAAUACUCGGCUGCGGAUAUGGAUGGCAUUCGUGAAGAUUGGCCGACUUAUGCGGUUAACUCUAUUUUUAAGUUAUAAAUCAUAUUUUAGGUGUUGAUAAUGUAUUGACAAACAAUUCUUUUUUUUGUUAACGUUAAAAUAUUUGUAGUAUACUUGACAAAUGAUUAUGUAAUGGAUUGUUUUGGUAUUUA
Long non-coding RNA from Helianthus annuus (common sunflower), 324 nucleotides. RefSeq lists it as uncharacterized. The transcript has 2 exons. The record is from RefSeq and is a predicted model, not a curated record. Lineage: Eukaryota; Viridiplantae; Streptophyta; Magnoliopsida; Asterales; Asteraceae.